This 467-nucleotide ribosomal RNA is filed under the name uncultured bacterium. RNAcentral's name for it is "partial 16S ribosomal RNA". It matches the Rfam family "Bacterial small subunit ribosomal RNA", at positions 28 to 506 of the family's 1533-position model. The record is from RNAcentral.
GACGAACGCUGGCGGCGUGCUUAACACAUGCAAGUCGAACGGAAAGGCCCUGCUUUUGUGGGGUGCUCGAGUGGCGAACGGGUGAGUAACACGUGAGUAACCUGCCCUUGACUUUGGGAUAACUUCAGGAAACUGGGGCUAAUAUCGGAUAGGAGCUCCUGCUGCAUGGUGGGGGUUGGAAAGUUUCGGCGGUUGGGGAUGGACUCGCGGCUUAUCAGCUUGUUGGUGGGGUAGUGGCUUACCAAGGCUUUGACGGGUAGCCGGCCUGAGAGGGUGACCGGCCACAUUGGGACUGAGAUACGGCCCAGACUCCUACGGGAGGCAGCAGUGGGGAAUAGUGCACAAUGGGCGGAAGCCUGGUGCAGCAACGCCGCGUGCGGGAUGACGGCCUUCGGGUUGUAAACCGCUUUCGCCUGUGACGAAGCGUGAGUGACGGUAAUGGGUAAAGAAGCACCGGCUAACUACGU